This 403-nucleotide ribosomal RNA is filed under the name bacterium. Its description in RNAcentral is "partial 16S ribosomal RNA". It matches the Rfam family "Bacterial small subunit ribosomal RNA", at positions 355 to 776 of the family's 1533-position model. The record is from RNAcentral.
UGGGAAAUAAAACAAAAUAGAGGAAACCCUGAUGCAGCGACGCCGCGUGAACGAAGAAGGUAUUCGUAUCGUAAAGUUCUGUCCUAUGGGAAGAUAAUGACAGUACCAUAGAAGAAAGCUCCGGCUAAAUACGUGCCAGCAGCCGCGGUAAUACGUAUGGAGCGAGCGUUGUCCGGAAUUAUUGGGCGUAAAGGGUACGCAGGCGGUUUAAUAAGUCGAAUGUUAAAGAUCGGGGCUCAACCCCGCAAAGCAUUGGAAACUGAUAAACUUGAGUAGUGGAGAGGAAAGUGGAAUUCCUAGUGUAGUGGUGAAAUACGUAGAUAUUAGGAGGAAUACCAGUAGCGAAGGCGACUUUCUGGACACAAACUGACGCUGAGGUACGAAAGCGUGGGGAGCAAACAGG